Molecule: ribosomal RNA, 521 nt
Filed under: uncultured bacterium
Lineage: Bacteria
Description: bacterial SSU rRNA
Rfam family: Bacterial small subunit ribosomal RNA
Source: RNAcentral
CCAGAGAACUUAGCAGAGAUGCUUUGGUGCCUUCGGGAACUCUGAGACAGGUGCUGCAUGGCUGUCGUCAGCUCGUGUCGUGAAAUGUUGGGUUAAGUCCCGCAACGAGCGCAACCCUUAUCCUUUGUUGCCAGCGGUUCGGCCGGGAACUCAAAGGAGACUGCCGGUGAUAAACCGGAGGAAGGUGGGGAUGACGUCAAGUCAUCAUGGCCCUUACGGCCAGGGCUACACACGUGCUACAAUGGCGCAUACAAAGAGAAGCGACCUCGCGAGAGCAAGCGGACCUCAUAAAGUGCGUCGUAGUCCGGAUUGGAGUCUGCAACUCGACUCCAUGAAGUCGGAAUCGCUAGUAAUCGUAGAUCAGAAUGCUACGGUGAAUACGUUCCCGGGCCUUGUACACACCGCCCGUCACACCAUGGGAGUGGGUUGCAAAAGAAGUAGGUAGCUUAACCUUCGGGAGGGCGCUUAUCACUUUGUGAUUCAUGACUGGGGUGAAGUCGUAACAAGGUAAGCGUAGCGAG